AGCCCAAAACCCCUUCCUGGUUAAUUGAAUGACUCCUUGUUAAGAAAAUAGAAAACUUUCAAGAAUAAUUCUUUGUGCACCGCAUGUGUGCAGCAAAAAUGCACCGUCCCAUCUUAUUGGGUCAUUUAGCCAAUGCUUUCCAACAUGCAUUUAAUGUCUGUAGUUUUACUUUUUCGUUUGAAAUUUUGAACGAUAAAAAUACCUCUCUUCUUUUGAAAAAAUUAUGAUAUCCUGCGGUUAAAUAAUGACUUACCGUAAAACAUGAAGUCAUAAUUUUUCUUCAGAAGUCAUAAAGAGAAAAAGAUAUUUUCGUCAUUAAAAAUUUAUAAAAUAACAAAAAUAUUUCUCCAUUUUUUAUAACAUCUUAUGAUUAAAUUAUGACUCGUUGUUGUACAGAAAGUCAUAAUUUUUGAGCUUAGAUUAAAUUAUGACAGAAAUUCAGUCGGUACAUACAGCGUAGAUGCUGCCAACACUUUUGAGCAAAGGCACAAUGAACAAUUGCAUGAGCACAAUCCUCAAUUUGGGUAGAACAUAAAUCACAGAACCAAUUAUCAAUCGGAAUGAUAUUACAGUGACC
Molecule: long non-coding RNA, 577 nt
Filed under: Elaeis guineensis (African oil palm)
Lineage: Eukaryota; Viridiplantae; Streptophyta; Magnoliopsida; Arecales; Arecaceae
Description: long non-coding RNA (EGUI_LNC010168)
Source: RNAcentral